UUGUCUUAGUUGGUUAAUUUAUAAGUCAGAUAUUGCUUUCCAUAAUUGCAUUACAAAUCGUCACAAAACAUAGAGGACAGAAAUAUAGUUAAAAUCGAUACUUUGAGUCUAUCUCCAAAAUAUUAAAUUGACAUCAAUAUAUCCUGUCUCCGUCUGGAGGUGUUAGGCCAAGUGGGACACACACACAAACACACACAUGUAGAGAAAGGAAGUGUGUGAGGCCCUCCGUCUGGCAGAGUGGAAGACGAUUCUCUUGAAGGAACGGGAGUCUUGGGAGCAGCUUCGCUGGCUGAGGAUUGCAAGGGAAGAGCUACUAAAAAACGAGGAAGAGGAGGAGAGACCCUGCCCAGAGGAAGCCCGGGGCCCACAUCUGGAGCCAGGCCCAGAAGGAGGGCUUGCCGGCGAGCCCCUGGUGGCCGGGUUUGCCACAGAGCCCGGCCGGGCACAGCCUGAAAAAGCAACGUGGCACCCCCCUCUCCAUCCUUUGGACCCACCAUCCAUAGGAAGAUCCACAGGGGUCACCUCCCUACACCUUCGGGUAGUGGGGGGAGAAACUCAGACUGUUGUUUGUGCAUAUGCACCAAACAGCAGUUCAGAGUACUCGGCCUUCUUGGAGACCCUGAAUGGAGUUCUGUUUGGGUAGCCUCCCAGCAGAACUCCAUAGUUCUGGGAGUUCUUCAAUGCGCAUGUGGGCAAUGAUAGAGAUAUCUGGAAAGACGUGAUUGGGAGGAACGGCCCCCCUGAUCUUCUGUGCUAGUAAUGGAUUGUCUAUUACGAACACCAUGUUCGAAUAUAAGGAUGCUCCUAAGUGUACGUAGUACCAGAGCACCCCAGGCCGAAGAUUGAUGAUUGAUAUUGUAAUCGUUUCAUCUGAUUUGAGGCCGCAUGUUUUGGACACUCGGGUGAAGGGAGGGGCGGAGCUGUCAACUGAUCACCAUCUGGUGGUGAGUUGGGUCAGGGGGUGGAGGAAGACUCUGGACAGACCCGGUAAGCCCAAACGGGUAGUGCGGGUGAACUGGGAACGUCUGGAGGAGGCCCCUGUUCUUGAGAUCUUUAACUCAAACCUCCGGCAGAGCUUUUCUGGCAUCCCUGUGGAGGUUGGGGACAUUAAACUUGAGUGGGCAAUGUUCAAAUGUUCUAUUGCUGAAGCCGCAGCAGGAAGCUGUGGUCUCAGGGUCUUAGGUAACUCAAGGGGCAGUAAUCCUCGAACAGCGUGGUGGACACCGGUGGUCAGGGAAGCCGUCCAACUGAAGAAGGAGGCCUUCCGGCAUUUGUUGUCUCAGAGGACUCCGGAGGCGGUUGCAAGGUACUGACAGACCCAAAGGGCUGCAGCCUCUGCUGUGGCAGAUGCAAAGCAGCAGGUGUGGGAGAAGUUCGGAAAACCCCCACCUCAGGAGGGGAACCGUGCAAGCUGUAUACAGUAAGGAUGGGAUCCUGUUGACUUCAACUGGGGAGGUAAUUGGGCGGUGGAAAGAACACUUUUAGGAACUCCUAAAUCCGAUUGACACGCCCUCUCUAGUAGAGGCAGAGCUGGAGGCUGAUGGGGGUUUCUUGUCAAUUUCCCUGGUGGAAGUCACUGAGGUAGUCAAACAACUCUACAGUGGCAAAGCCCCAGGGAUUGAUGUGAUCCGCCCAGAAACACUAAAAGCUUUGGGUUUGGAGGGGUUGUCUUGGAUGACAGGCGCCAGUACAGUGCUGAAGGAGUGGCAGAUUGAGGUGGUGGUUCCCCUGUUCAAAAAGGGGGACCAGAGAGUGUGUGCCAAUUACAGGGGUAUCACACUUCUCAGCCUCCCAGGUAAAGUCUACUCCAAGGUGCUGGAAUGGAGGGUUC
Molecule: long non-coding RNA, 1831 nt
Organism: Micropterus dolomieu (smallmouth bass)
Lineage: Eukaryota; Metazoa; Chordata; Actinopteri; Centrarchiformes; Centrarchidae
Exons: 3
Source: RefSeq, a predicted model, not a curated record